Molecule: ribosomal RNA, 253 nt
Filed under: uncultured bacterium
Lineage: Bacteria
Description: partial 16S ribosomal RNA
Rfam family: Bacterial small subunit ribosomal RNA
Source: RNAcentral
UACGUAGGGGGCAAGCGUUGUCCGGAAUCAUUGGGCGUAAAGAGCGUGUAGGCGGCUCGGUAAGUCCGCUGUGAAAGUCCAGGGCUCAACCCUGGAAUGCCGGUGGAAACUGUCGAGCUUGAGUCCGGAAGAGGCGAGUGGAAUUCCUGGUGUAGCGGUGAAAUGCGCAGAUAUCAGGAGGAACACCAAUGGCGAAGGCAGCUCGCUGGGACGGUACUGACGCUGAGACGCGAAAGCGUGGGGAGCAAACGGG